Molecule: ribosomal RNA, 891 nt
Filed under: uncultured Gemmatimonadota bacterium
Lineage: Bacteria; Pseudomonadati; Gemmatimonadota
Description: bacterial SSU rRNA
Rfam family: Bacterial small subunit ribosomal RNA
Source: RNAcentral
CAAGUCAAGGGGGCCCAGCAAUGGGCAACCGGCGAACGGGUGCGUAACACGUGAGCAACCUACCCAGGUGUGGGGGAUAGCCGUCCCAACGGACGGGUAAUACCGCAUACGCUCUUCUUUAGGCAUUUAGAGAAGAGGAAACCUUCGGGGCACCAUGAGGGGCUCGCGGCCUAUCAGCUAGUUGGCGAGGUAAUGGCUCACCAAGGCGACGACGGGUAGCUGGUCUGAGAGGAUGGCCAGCCACAUUGGGACUGAGAAACGGCCCAGACUCCUACGGGAGGCAGCAGUGGGGAAUCUUGCGCAAUGGCCUAACGGCUGACGCAGCGACGCCGCGUGAGGGAUGACGCUCUUCGGAGUGUAAACCUCUUUUGCCUGGAACGAAUUGCGAGCUUUUGCUCGUUUGACGGUACCGGGUGAAUAAGCACCGGCUAACUCCGUGCCAGCAGCCGCGGUAAUACGGGGGGUGCGAGCGUUGUCCGGAAUCACUGGGCGUAAAGGGCGCGUAGGUGGCGUGAUAAGGGUGUGGUGAAAGCCCGGGGCUCAACCCCGGGUCGGCCAUGCCGACUGUCAGGCUUGAGUACUGUAGGGGCAGGCGGAAUUCCGGGUGUAGCGGUGGAAUGCGUAGAGAUCCGGAGGAAGACCGGUGGCGAAGGCGGCCUGCUGGGCAGUUACUGACACUGAGGCGCGACAGCGUGGGGAGCAAACAGGAUUAGAUACCCUGGUAGUCCACGCCGUAAACGAUGGGUACUAGGUGCCUGGGGGAGCGACCCCUUGGGUGCCGGCGCUAACGCAGGAAGUACCCCGCCUGGGGAGUACGGCCGCAAGGCUGAAACUCAAAGGAAUUGACGGGGGCCCGCACAAGCGGUGGAGCAUGUGGUUUAAUUCGACGCA